RNAcentral lists this ribosomal RNA (406 nucleotides) under uncultured bacterium. Its description in RNAcentral is "partial 16S ribosomal RNA". It matches the Rfam family "Bacterial small subunit ribosomal RNA", at positions 29 to 526 of the family's 1533-position model. The record is from RNAcentral.
AUUGAACGCUGGCGGCAGGCCUAACACAUGCAAGUCGAACGAGUGGCGGACGGGUGAGUAAUGUCUGGGAAACUGCCUGAUGGAGGGGGAUAACUACUGGAAACGGUAGCUAAUAACGCAUACCAUCAGAUGUGCCCAGAUGGGAUUAGCUUGUGGGGGGGGAAACGGCUCACCAGGGCGACGAUCCCUAGCUGGUCUGAGAGGAUGACCAGCCACACUGGAACUGGGACACGGUCCAGACUCUUACGGGAGGAAGCAGUGGGGAAUAUUGCAAAAUGGGCGCAAGCCUGAUGCAGCAAGGCCGGGUGGAGGAAGAAGGCCUUCGGGUGGUAAAGUACUUUCAGCGGGGAGGCGUUACCCGCAGAAGAAGCACCGGCUAACUCCGUGCCAGCAGCCGCGGUAAUAC